RNAcentral lists this ribosomal RNA (301 nucleotides) under uncultured bacterium. RNAcentral describes it as "partial 16S ribosomal RNA". It matches the Rfam family "Archaeal small subunit ribosomal RNA", at positions 459 to 759 of the family's 1478-position model. The record is from RNAcentral.
CAGCAGCCGCGGGAAUACCAGCAGCCCAAGUGGUGGUCGCGAUUAUUGGGCCUAAAGCGCUCGUAGCCGGGCCGGUAAGUCCCUUGUGAAAUCGGACGGCCUAACCGUUCGGCGUGCAAGGGAUACUGUCGGUCUUGAGGCCGGGAGACGUCCGAGGUACUCCGGGGGUAGCGGUGAAAUGUUCUGAUCCUCGGGGGACCACCGGUGGCGAAGGCGUUCGACGAGAACGGGCCUGACGGUGAGGGGCGAAGGCUAGGGGAGCAAACGGGAUUAGAUACCCCAGUAGUCCCUGUCUCUUAUA